RNAcentral lists this ribosomal RNA (560 nucleotides) under uncultured fungus. RNAcentral's name for it is "LSU rRNA". It matches the Rfam family "Eukaryotic large subunit ribosomal RNA", at positions 38 to 667 of the family's 3401-position model. Lineage: Eukaryota; Fungi. The record is from RNAcentral.
GCAUAUCAAUAAGCGGAGGAAAAGAAACCAACAGGGAUUGCCUCAGUAGCGGCGAGUGAAGCGGCAAAAGCUCCAUUUUGAAAGCUCUUCGGAGCGUUGUAGAUUGGUGGGAAGCUAACGGCUGGUGGGAGACCAAGUCCUCUGGAACGAGGCGCCAUAGAGGGUGAGAGCCCCGUGUGUCUCCUUUACCGACCUUUCAGCCCCCGCCGCGGAGUCGAGUUGUUUGGGAAUGCAGCUCUAAGUGGGUGGUAAAUUCCAUCUAAGGCUAAAUAUUGGCGAGAGACCGAUAGCGAACAAGUACAGUGAUGGAAAGAUGAGAAGCACUUUGAAAAGAGAGUGAAACAGUACGUGAAAUUGUUGAAAGGGAGGGGCUUGCAAGCAGACACGGCCUUCGUGCCGGGCCAGCAUCGGUUGCUAGGGGUGGAUAAGGAACAAGGAAUGUAGCUCCUCGGAGUAUUAUAGCCUUGCGCGAUACACCCACUGGCGACCGAGGCCUGCGGUAUUCUUUACCUAGGAUGCUGGCGUAAUGGUUGCAAGCCGCCCGUCUUGAAACACGGACC